CCGAAAUACUCAUUUGCGUUUCCAUGUAUUCUAUCCUCUUAAAAGUUCUCGGUCACAGUGCAAUAUAGCAUUUGCAGUAGCUCCAACAGUGCUUCCUUUAUGAAACAUUCAGUGGGGAGUUCUCCUUCCAGCUCUGCCCCACUCCUGCCUUUCUACACUUGUGUAGAGAUAUAGCCAGGAUGAUGACAAGGAUGAUGACCACAAAUACCACAGCUCCAAUGAUGUAGAAUAUUUCUCUGAAUUCCCCUUUCUCCUGGCCCAUACACUCUACCGGGCUGUCUGUACUCUUCCGGUUAACUGUUCGGGAGGGAAUCACUGCUUGAACACUGAAACAGUAGUUUUCUCCUUUAUCCACAUCAAUCAAAAACUCAUUAGUGUUUGUUUUGGCUGUUUUCUGUAAAAAGAUAGAGUUCUU
Molecule: long non-coding RNA, 415 nt
Filed under: Homo sapiens (human)
Lineage: Eukaryota; Metazoa; Chordata; Mammalia; Primates; Hominidae
Description: LNC_000120
Source: RNAcentral